AACGAACGCUGGCGGCAGGCUUAACACAUGCAAGUCGAACGGGAUCUUCGGAUCUAGUGGCAGACGGGUGAGGAACACGUGGGAACAUCCCUUUCAGUUCGGAAUAACGUUGGGAAACUAACGCUAAUACCGGAUACGUCCUUCGGGAGAAAGAUUUAUCGCUGAAAGAUUGGCCCGCGUCUGAUUAGCUAGUUGGGGAGGUAAUGGCUCACCAAGGCUACGAUCAGUAGCUGAUCUGAGAGGAUGAUCAGCCACAUUGGGACUGAGACACGGCCCAAACUCCUACGGGAGGCAGCAGUGGGGAAUAUUGGACAAUGGGCGCAAGCCUGAUCCAGCCAUGCCGCGUGAGUGAUGACGGCCUUCGGGUUGUAAAGCUCUUUUGUCCGGGAAGAUAAUGACUGUACCGGAAGAAUAAGCCCCGGCAAACUUCGUGCCAGCCGCCGCUGUAA
This 449-nucleotide ribosomal RNA is filed under the name uncultured bacterium. RNAcentral describes it as "partial 16S ribosomal RNA". It matches the Rfam family "Bacterial small subunit ribosomal RNA", at positions 29 to 523 of the family's 1533-position model. The record is from RNAcentral.